AGGGCUGGGCAAGACCGGUGCCAGCCGCCGCGGUAACACCGGCAGCCCGAGUGGUGAUCACUAUUAUUGGGUCUAAAGGGUCCGUAGCCGGUUUAAUCAGUCUUCUGGGAAAUCUAAUCGCUUAACUAUUAGGCUUCCAGGGGAUACUGUUAGACUUGGGACCGGGAGAGGUAAGAGGUACUGCAGGGGUAGGAGUGAAAUCUUGUAAUCCCUGUGAGACCACCAGUGGCGAAGGCGUCUUACCAGAACGGGUCCGACGGUGAGGGACGAAAGCUGGGGGCACGAACCGGAUUAGAUACCCGGGUAGUCCCAGCUGUAAACGAUGCUCGUUAGGUGUCAGGAACGGUGCGACUGUUUCUGGUGCCGAAGGGAAGCCGUGAAACGAGCCACCUGGGAAGUACGGCCGCAAGGCUGAAACUUAAAGGAAUUGGCGGGGGAGCACUACAACGGGUGGAGCCUGCGGUUUAAUUGGACUCAACGCCGGAAAACUCACCGGGGGCGACAGCAAUAUGUAGGUCAGGUUAAAGGUCUUACCUGAAUCGCUGAGAGGAGGUGCAUGGCCGUCGUCAGUUCGUACUGUGAAGCAUCCUGUUAAGUCAGGCAACGAGCAAGACCCGUGCCCACUGUUACCAGCAUAUCCUUUAUGGAUGAUGGGGACUCUGUGGGGACCGCUGCUGCUAAAGCAGAGGAAGGUGCGGGCUACGGUAGGUCAGUAUGCCCCGAAUCUCCCGGGCUACACGCGGGCUACAAUGGUUGGGACAAUGGGUAUCUACUCCGAAAGGAGUUGGCAAUCUCUUAAACCCAAUCGUAGUUCGAAUUGAGGGCUGUAACUCGCCCUCAUGAAGCUGGAAUCCGUAGUAAUCGCGUUUCAACAUAGCGCGGUGAAUCU
This 889-nucleotide ribosomal RNA is filed under the name uncultured archaeon. Its description in RNAcentral is "bacterial SSU rRNA". It matches the Rfam family "Archaeal small subunit ribosomal RNA", at positions 437 to 1325 of the family's 1478-position model. The record is from RNAcentral.